CGGAUGCAGAGGCAACAGAGGUAGGGAGAGGGCCAAUGGCUGAUGAUGAUGCGAUGUGCUCAACCCAUGCUGAAGUUUCAGAGCUGCGUGGGUUACAACAGGAGAAAAUCAGACGUCUUUGCAACGGAGGCUGAUGCAUUUUUAGAAGCCAGAAGAGAGAAGACUUACUAGAUGGUUUUCAGUUUUGGUCAUUGAUCCUGACAUAAUAGAAUGUGACCUACGUAGAGAAGACAAAACGCAGAAAUACAACACAACCAAAGAAUACAUGCUGGAAAAGGGAUCACUGAAGAAAAACGGAUAGGAAGUAUAUCUCAUAUUUUUGUGUGUGCAGGCAUACCUCGGAGAUGUUGUGGGUUUGGUACCUGACUGCUGCAAUAAAGCUAAUAUCACAAUAAA
This 396-nucleotide long non-coding RNA is filed under the name Equus asinus (donkey). RNAcentral's name for it is "lncRNA (ENSEASG00005025280.1)". The record is from RNAcentral. Lineage: Eukaryota; Metazoa; Chordata; Mammalia; Perissodactyla; Equidae.